Molecule: non-coding RNA, 967 nt
Filed under: Glauconycteris poensis (Abo bat)
Lineage: Eukaryota; Metazoa; Chordata; Mammalia; Chiroptera; Vespertilionidae
Description: 12S ribosomal RNA
Rfam family: Bacterial small subunit ribosomal RNA
Source: RNAcentral
CAGAGGUUUGGUCCUGGCCUUUCUAUUAGCUGUUAGUAGACUUACACAUGCAAGAAUCCCCGCCCCUGUGAAAUAUGCCCUCUAGACUAUUUAGCCAAUAGUAAGAGGAGCUGGUAUCAAGCACACUAAAACGUAGCUCACAACACCUUGCUCAGCCACACCCCCACGGGAAACAGCAGUGACAAAAAUUAAGCAAUAGACGAAAGUCUGACUAAGUCAUACUUCUAAGGACUGGUAAAUUUCGUGCCAGCCACCGCGGUCAUACGAUUAGACCAAGCUAAUAGACGUUCGGCGUAAAGAGUGUCCUAGAGUUGUAGCAAUCCAAUAAAGCUAAACUUUAACUAAACUGUAAAAAGCCCUAGUUAAUGUAAAAUAAACUACGAAAGUGACUUUAAAACAUCUGAUUACACGAUAGCUAAGACCCAAACUGGGAUUAGAUACCCCACUAUGCUUAGCCUUAAACAUAAAAAAUUAUGAACAAAAUUAUUCGCCAGAGUACUACCAGCAACAGCUAGAAACUCAAAGGACUUGGCGGUGCCUUAUAUCCUUCUAGAGGAGCCUGUUCUGUAACCGAUAAACCCCGUUAAACCUCACCAAUCCUUGCCAAAUCAGCCUAUAUACCGCCAUCUUCAGCAAACCCUAAAAAGGAAGCAUAGUAAGCACAAACAUCAACAUAAAAACGUUAGGUCAAGGUGUAGCUAAUGGAUUGGAAAGAAAUGGGCUACAUUCCUCGCAAUCGAGGAAUUACUCAUACGCAAGCUUCUGUGAAACCAGCAGUUAAAGGUGGAUUUAGUAGUAAAUUAAGAAUAGAGAGCUUAAUUGAACAAGGCCAUGAGGCACGCACACACCGCCCGUCACCCUCCUCAAGCAAAAUAUCUUACUAUUAUAUAAUUCCUAGUAAUUUGAACCUGUCAGAGGAGAUAAGUCGUAACAAGGUAAGUGUACUGGAAAGUGCACUUGGAUAACA